UCCCUGGUGGUCCAGUGGCUAAGACUCCACACUCCCAAUGCAGGGGGCCCGGGUUCGAUUCCUGGCCAGGGAA
RNAcentral lists this transfer RNA (73 nucleotides) under Bos taurus (domestic cattle). It matches the Rfam family "tRNA". From Rfam's summary of the family: Transfer RNA (tRNA) molecules are approximately 80 nucleotides in length. Their secondary structure includes four short double-helical elements and three loops (D, anti-codon, and T loops). Further hydrogen bonds mediate the characteristic L-shaped molecular structure. tRNAs have two regions of fundamental functional importance: the anti-codon, which is responsible for specific mRNA codon recognition, and the 3' end, to which the tRNAs corresponding amino acid is attached (by aminoacyl-tRNA synthetases). tRNAs cope with the degeneracy of the genetic code in two manners: having more than one tRNA (with a specific anti-codon) for a particular amino acid; and 'wobble' base-pairing, i.e. permitting non-standard base-pairing at the 3rd anti-codon position. Lineage: Eukaryota; Metazoa; Chordata; Mammalia; Artiodactyla; Bovidae. RNAcentral also lists the same sequence under 1 other name. The record is from Rfam by way of RNAcentral.